CUUGUCAGUCCACAGUGUUUUGUAAAUCGAAUCCGCCGCGGAAACACAUGCCACAAACACAAUCGAGUGCGAAAAUGACGAACGGUUGGAAAAAUGUAGAAUGCAGCCUAACAAAGAUCGCGACACGUCGUUGGAUCGAUCGUCACUGUGCAACUGGACCACCUUGGCUCCUGAAUGGAUACUGCACGAAGAUACUUCACUGAUACGGUUCACCGCCCGUCCGGACGGAUUAACUCCACUUAACGGGCCCCGGGAGCAAUCCAAGAAUAAAUCAAAUCAAUUUAAGCAAACGUGAAAAUAUAAAAAGGAAAACAA
Molecule: long non-coding RNA, 315 nt
Organism: Aedes aegypti (yellow fever mosquito)
Lineage: Eukaryota; Metazoa; Arthropoda; Insecta; Diptera; Culicidae
Exons: 2
Source: RefSeq, a predicted model, not a curated record